UGGUUCACCGGUUCACGCCGCGGAAUCGGGGAACGAGACACUCGCGUGGCUAGCCCCGGCAGGUCGGUUCACCGGAUCUGCCGGAGGUGAAGACAAUCGGUGAUCUACGCACGUAGAGGUCUCGCAGGAUCCAUUCGCGGACGCGGGUUCGACUCCCGCCGCCUCCACUC
This 170-nucleotide transfer-messenger RNA is filed under the name Gemmatimonadota bacterium. RNAcentral describes it as "Gemmatimonadetes bacterium partial transfer-messenger RNA". It matches the Rfam family "transfer-messenger RNA", at positions 186 to 374 of the family's 374-position model. From Rfam's summary of the family: Bacterial tmRNA, also known as 10Sa RNA or SsrA, is named for its dual tRNA and mRNA-like properties. Its role is to liberate the mRNA from a stalled ribosome. The record is from RNAcentral. Lineage: Bacteria; Pseudomonadati; Gemmatimonadota.